This 371-nucleotide ribosomal RNA is filed under the name uncultured bacterium. Its description in RNAcentral is "bacterial SSU rRNA". It matches the Rfam family "Bacterial small subunit ribosomal RNA", at positions 144 to 507 of the family's 1533-position model. The record is from RNAcentral.
UAACGUAGACGAAAGUUACGCUAAUACCGCAUAUUCUGUGAGCAGGAAANCGAGGGGAUCGCAAGACCUUGCGCUGAUUGAGCGGCCGAUAUCAGAUUAGCUAGUUGGUGAGGUAAAGGCUCACCAAGGCGACGAUCUGUAGCGGGUCUGAGAGGAUGAUCCGCCACACUGGAACUGAGACACGGUCCAGACUCCGUACGGGAGGCAGCAGUGGGGAAUUUUGGACAAUGGGCGCAAGCCUGAUCCAGCCAUGCCGCGUGAGUGAAGAAGGCCUUCGGGUUGUAAAGCUCUUUCGGCCGGGAAGAAAUCGCACAGGUUAAUACCCUGUGUGGAUGACGGUACCGGAAUAAGAAGCACCGGCUAACUACGUG